ACUGAAUUUAUGUGUGUACUUGA
This 23-nucleotide microRNA is filed under the name Caenorhabditis elegans. RNAcentral's name for it is "cel-miR-83-5p". Its record names the gene cel-miR-83-5p. Lineage: Eukaryota; Metazoa; Nematoda; Chromadorea; Rhabditida; Rhabditidae. The record is from miRBase by way of RNAcentral.